This is a non-coding RNA of Poecilia reticulata (guppy), 823 nucleotides long. The record is from RefSeq and is a predicted model, not a curated record. Lineage: Eukaryota; Metazoa; Chordata; Actinopteri; Cyprinodontiformes; Poeciliidae.
UAAUAUAUUCAGCAUCUGUUGUGAUCGAAUUGAAUGAAAACAUAAACAUAAAAAUGCUUUUGUGUGAUCAGAAAGCUAAUUAACUUUUUUUUUGAGCGACUUUUAGCUGACUGUGUCAUUAAGGGUCUCCCUGGGAUCAAGGGAGUUAAAGGUUUACCGGGACCUAUGGGGAAUAAUGGAUAUAUUGGAGAAACAGGAGAGAGAGGGGAGAUCUGUUAUGAGUGUCAAACAUCGGGACUGUCAGGACCAGCAGGUCUCCGAGGUCCACCUGGCCUUCCUGGUACUAAUCAAGGACGGGGUGAAAAGGGRGAUCCCGGCUUUCCAGGUCCUUCAGGUUUACCUGGGCCUCCAGUAAGAAAGUGCAUCAUAAUCACAUUGCAGAUUUGUUUGUUAUAUGUUAUGCUUUUWCUUGUCUAGCCUUUGCAUCUACUGUCUACUACUCAUUUGCACGCAUAGGUUGGAGCAUGCUGUUUUCAAUAACUGCACAGUAUAUUGUGAUGUAAAUGAACCCUUACAGUAGAGAAGGUUAUUCUUAGUUCUGCUAUUACAUAUCUAUUUUCUGUGACUCUACAUGCUUCGAUUAUAUGUCACUUUGUUGCUGGUACACUUGACAUUUCUCACCGAGGACUUUUUUGGGCAAAAUUCUACCACAAAGMUGUGUCAAAUUGUCCAAAAUGUCUUGCAUCAAAAACAUAUGUAAAUAAAUAAAAACAUAACUAAAAGAAAUGUGAAUAUUUUUUUUACUAUUGUACUGUAUAUGCAAGACUUUCUUAUACUUUUUAAUCUAAAAUGAUCCACUGGGAUGGUUACCUUGAAAAUAGGG